GAAACUUUCAUUUGUAGAAAAUAUGUUCCAGUUUAACACUGAUGAAUACGAACAGUGUCAGUUAUUCCAUCCGCCAUGUCAUAAUGCAUUAAAUGUUAAUCCCAUUUUUGAUGUUUUAAAAAAAUCCUUGUUGGACAAACCAUGCAUUGGAGGCCUGGGAUAUGCUGUCAGUAGGGUAUCGUCAAUAACAGGUAUAGGUCAGAGAAACCUAUAUAGAUGCCUUGCUGAAAGGGGGAUCAGGAUUAGGGACAAAUAUUCAGAUAUAAAUGUAGAGGAGGUUCCCACAUAACACAAGGCAGUCCGUCAGAUGUCCGACAGAUGUCGGGGUCGGAUGUUGAGUACAUCUUU
This is a long non-coding RNA of Daphnia magna, 348 nucleotides long. RefSeq lists it as uncharacterized. The transcript is spliced from 3 exons. The record is from RefSeq and is a predicted model, not a curated record. NCBI's taxonomy places the organism in Eukaryota, Metazoa, Arthropoda, Branchiopoda, Diplostraca, Daphniidae.